ACAUCAUUCGGACCGUCGGUAUACCGAGCAACGACACGCGCUCAGUGAAAGAUCUUAUCUUUGUCAU
Molecule: microRNA precursor, 67 nt
Filed under: Bombyx mori (domestic silkworm)
Lineage: Eukaryota; Metazoa; Arthropoda; Insecta; Lepidoptera; Bombycidae
Description: mir-2774 microRNA precursor family
Rfam family: mir-2774 microRNA precursor family
Source: Rfam by way of RNAcentral